GACGAACGCUGGCGGCGUGCUUAACACAUGCAAGUCGAGCGGAAAGGCCCUUCGGGGUACUCUAGCGGCGAACGGGUGAGCAACACGGGAAUAACCUGCCCCAGACUUUGGGAUAACCCGCGGAAACGGGGACUAAGACCCGAUACGACACAACUUCGCUGGGGGGCUGUGUGGAAAGUUUGUCGGUGUGGGAUGGGCUCGCGGCCUAUGAGCUCGUUGGUGAGGUGAUGGCUGACGAGGGCACCGCCGGGUAGCCGACCUGAGAGCGGGAACGGCCACACUAGGACUGCGAGACGGAGCAGACUCCUACGGGACGCAGCAGUCGGGAGUAUUGCGGAAUAGGGGGACGUCUGAUGCGGCGGCGCCGGGAGCGGGAUGCUGGCCUUCGGGUGGUGAACAUCUUUCAGCAUGAACGAAGCGUACUUGACGGUACCUGAUGAAGAAGCGACGGCCAACUACGUG
RNAcentral lists this ribosomal RNA (462 nucleotides) under uncultured bacterium. Its description in RNAcentral is "partial 16S ribosomal RNA". It matches the Rfam family "Bacterial small subunit ribosomal RNA", at positions 28 to 507 of the family's 1533-position model. The record is from RNAcentral.